UUAUGAAAUGAUGAUGAUGGAAUUAUUUACAAGUUGAAUAUCGUGCUGAUGUGAUGUAUUUGUUUAUUCAGG
Long non-coding RNA from Xenia sp. Carnegie-2017, 72 nucleotides. RefSeq lists it as uncharacterized. Lineage: Eukaryota; Metazoa; Cnidaria; Anthozoa; Malacalcyonacea; Xeniidae. The record is from RefSeq and is a predicted model, not a curated record. The transcript has 3 exons.